RNAcentral lists this ribosomal RNA (489 nucleotides) under uncultured bacterium. RNAcentral's name for it is "partial 16S ribosomal RNA". It matches the Rfam family "Bacterial small subunit ribosomal RNA", at positions 29 to 504 of the family's 1533-position model. The record is from RNAcentral.
AGUGAACGCUGGCGGUAGGCCUAACACAUGCAAGUCGAACGGCAGCACAGUAAGAGCUUGCUCUUACGGGUGGCGAGUGGCGGACGGGUGAGGAAUACAUCGGAAUCUACUUUUUCGUGGGGGAUAACGUAGGGAAACUUACGCUAAUACCGCAUACGACCUACGGGUGAAAGCAGGGGAUCUUCGGACCUUGCGCGAUUGAAUGAGCCGAUGUCGGAUUAGCUAGUUGGCGGGGUAAAGGCCCACCAAGGCGACGAUCCGUAGCUGGUCUGAGAGGAUGAUCCGCCACACUGGAACUGAGACACGGUCCAGACUCCUACGGGAGGCAGCAGUGGGGAAUAUUGGACAAUGGGCGCAAGCCUGAUCCAGCCAUACCGCGUGGGUGAAGAAGGCCUUCGGGUUGUAAAGCCCUUUUGUUGGGAAAGAAAAGCAGCAGGUUAAUACCCCGCUGUUCUGACGGUACCCAAAGAAUCAGCACCGGCUAACUUC